UACAGAGGGGGCGAACGUUAUUCGGAAUCACUGGGCUUAAAGGGCGCGUAGGCGGGCCCGAAAGUCAGGGGUGAAAGCCCACGGCUCAACCGUGGAAGUGCCUCUGAUACUUCGGGCCUCGAGGGAGGUAGAGGCGUGCGGAACUUCCGGUGGAGCGGUGAAAUGCGUAGAUAUCGGAAGGAACGUCGGUGGCGAAAGCGGCGCGCUGGACCUCUUCUGACGCUGAGGCGCGAAAGCCAGGGGAGCGAACGGG
RNAcentral lists this ribosomal RNA (253 nucleotides) under uncultured bacterium. RNAcentral's name for it is "partial 16S ribosomal RNA". It matches the Rfam family "Bacterial small subunit ribosomal RNA", at positions 524 to 776 of the family's 1533-position model. The record is from RNAcentral.